GACGAACGCUGGCGGCGUGCUUAACACAUGCAAGUCGAACGGAAAGGCCCUGCUUGCCGGGUGCUCGAGUGGCGAACGGGUGAGUAACACGUGGGUGAUCUGCCCCUUACUUUGGGAUAAGCCUGGGAAACUGGGUCUAAUACUGGAUAGGACCAUGCUGUAGGUGGUGUGGUGGAAAGAUUAGUUUCGGUAAGGGAUGAGCUCGCGGCCUAUCAGCUUGUUGGUGGGGUAAUGGCCUACCAAGGCGUCGACGGGUAGCCGGCCUGAGAGGGUGGACGGCCACAUUGGGACUGAGAUACGGCCCAGACUCCUACGGGAGGCAGCAGUGGGGAAUAUUGCACAAUGGGCGCAAGCCGGAUGCAGCGACGCCGCGUGGGGGAUGACGGCCUUCGGGUUGUAAACUCCUUUCAGCCAUGACGAAGCCCUUGUGGUGACGGUAGUGGCAGAAGAAGCACCGGCUAACUACGUG
This 469-nucleotide ribosomal RNA is filed under the name uncultured bacterium. RNAcentral describes it as "partial 16S ribosomal RNA". It matches the Rfam family "Bacterial small subunit ribosomal RNA", at positions 28 to 507 of the family's 1533-position model. The record is from RNAcentral.